UACGUAGGGUGCAAGCGUUGUCCGGAAUCAUUGGGCGUAAAGCGCGCGUAGGCGGCCCGAUAAGUCCGCUGUAAAAGUCAACGGCUCAACUGUUGAAAGCCGGUGGAUACUGUCGGGCUAGAGUGCGGGAGAGGCGAGUGGAAUUCCUGGUGUAGCGGCGAAAUGCGCAGAUAUCAGGAGGAACACCAAUUGCGAAGGCAGCUCGCUGGAACGUAACUGACGCUGAGACGCGAAAGCGUGGGGAGCAAACAGG
Molecule: ribosomal RNA, 253 nt
Filed under: uncultured bacterium
Lineage: Bacteria
Description: partial 16S ribosomal RNA
Rfam family: Bacterial small subunit ribosomal RNA
Source: RNAcentral